This 104-nucleotide ribosomal RNA is filed under the name uncultured bacterium. RNAcentral describes it as "partial 16S ribosomal RNA". It matches the Rfam family "Bacterial small subunit ribosomal RNA", at positions 1379 to 1482 of the family's 1533-position model. The record is from RNAcentral.
CCUUGUACACACCGCCCGUCACACCAUGGGAGUGGGUUGCAAAAGAAGUAGGUAGCUUAACCUUCGGGAGGGCGCUUACCGCUUUGUGAUUCAUGACUGGGGUG